GUGUCAGCAGCCGCGGUAACACGUAGGGGGCAAGCGUUGUCCGGAAUCAUUGGGCGUAAAGAGCUCGUAGGCGGCUCAAUAAGUCGGGUGUGAAACCCCCAGGCUCAACCUGGGGACGCCACCCGAUACUGUUGUGGCUAGAGUCCAGUAGGGGAGUGUGGAAUUCCCGGUGUAGCGGUGAAAUGCGCAGAUAUCGGGAGGAACACCAGCGGCGAAGGCGGCACUCUGGGCUGGUACUGACGCUGAGGAGCGAAAGCGUGGGUAGCAAACAGGAUUAGAAACCCGGGUAGUCC
Molecule: ribosomal RNA, 293 nt
Filed under: uncultured bacterium
Lineage: Bacteria
Description: partial 16S ribosomal RNA
Rfam family: Bacterial small subunit ribosomal RNA
Source: RNAcentral